UCCAUGAUAUUAUUUUGUUUUCCUUUGUUUUGCAUGGGUUUUUGGUUUUUUUUUUGGCUCGAGGAAAGCAAAGCUCUUUUAGUUUCACCGGGAACACCAGAACAUUAGCAGAAAUACUCAUGCCUUCUAUGCGAAUUUAGUAGUUUAAAACUUUUGAAGGUUAUUUAUGUGGAUGGCCCUAAGCAAAAGCCCUGAAUGGCUCUCAGGGAGCACGUGAUGUCAUUAAACUAAGUUUUAUGGUUUGGGGGAGCUGACAAACCCACAAUAUAUUUACAUCAUAUAUAAUCUUAACUGUCCACCAUCGCAGCUGCUAGAGCUGUUUAAUGCUGGGACAGUGGGACAAGGCGCUUUAGUGCGGAGCGCGGCGGCCGGAGCAGCACCUCCCGCAAGAAGCAGCAGCCACCGCAAACACAACUCUGAGCCAAGAGCACAAAGAGCCCCGACCAUUUCGCGGUGACUGAUUUAUGGCGUUUUACAACCCCAUAAAAAGCUGUAACAACCAGCCAAAAGCCUUCGACACCGCUGGCACAUUUAGUCUAAUAAAUAAAACAUAAACAGUUAA
Long non-coding RNA from Pezoporus occidentalis (night parrot), 562 nucleotides. RefSeq lists it as uncharacterized. The transcript has 2 exons. NCBI's taxonomy places the organism in Eukaryota, Metazoa, Chordata, Aves, Psittaciformes, Psittacidae. The record is from RefSeq and is a predicted model, not a curated record.